CAACAAAACCCGCGCCAACUCGGAUGUGGGAACACUGAUUACCGGUCCUUUCCCCUUUCCUAGGUUUCACAAGGCUCUUGGGAACAUCUCCACCCCCGAACGCUAGUCAUUGGAGAGACCCGAGCUUGUGCGUAAAAGAGGAUCAGUAAAGUCCCAGUUGCCUGCCAUUCAGGGCCACCAGAGCCUGGGCAACAAGGGACGAUCUCUGAUGUAUGACCAGAGGCCCCGUGUGGAUAAUGCCACCAGCAUGGCUUUAAGUCCCACCCAGGGAAGCCACAUCAAGACGGGCCUCCCUCCUCACCGGGUUCCCGACAACGAGGAGUGUUCUGCCCCACCCUGGGCCAGAGUUGUCCCGGGUACUAGGAAGAUGGGGUUUGGCGCUGGCUGCCGGUGUACCUGCCUGACUGCUCCAGAUGUGGAAUGGCUCAGCAGUUUGAAGACAAAGAUCCGGAAGGGCUCCUGGCUGCUCCCGGGGCCAAGGUUUCAGGCCUGACUGGCAGGAACUGCUAUCAGUGAAUUCAUGGUGCUGGAUGCCGCCUUGAGUCGCCUUUUAGCCCGAGAAACCUCGCGACUUUGUGACCAUAGAGGAGCUAGCAGCUCCCGGCAAAGAUCAGCUCCCUCUAGAGGAAGUCCUUGAUGACCGCCGGAUGCAGACGCGCACGGAGGGAGGCUGCAGCUGGGAGGAAGGUGGGCCUGGCCUAGAAGUUGCUCCUCCGCAGCCUCCCUUGCUUCCCUACAGAAGGGAAAGAGCUUUCGGUUUUCUUCUUCUCCUGUCUCUGACAGGAGGCCUCCUCUUCCCAUCUUCUCCCUCUAGUGAGACUCAAAGCACGACGUCAACGUCCACGACAAAAACCGGGAUGGAGCUGAGGGCCUUCAAAGAGGUUGAGGCUGGAGGAUCAUGAAAUAGAGGCCAGCCUGUGCUACAUAAUACCCUGGAAGAAAGGAGGAGGAGGAGGAGGAGGAAGAGGGGUGUGGGGGGGUGGGGCUCAGGAUCUGUGCUUUCCUCGACCCCUGCAAGCUGCCAGGCUUCAGGGACUGAUCUCAAACCCAGAAUAAACAGGAGUCCGUGGACAGACAGGA
Rattus rattus (black rat) is the source of this 1080-nucleotide long non-coding RNA. RefSeq lists it as uncharacterized. The record is from RefSeq and is a predicted model, not a curated record. NCBI's taxonomy places the organism in Eukaryota, Metazoa, Chordata, Mammalia, Rodentia, Muridae. The transcript has 2 exons.